This 216-nucleotide ribosomal RNA is filed under the name Geobacillus stearothermophilus. RNAcentral describes it as "partial 16S ribosomal RNA". It matches the Rfam family "Bacterial small subunit ribosomal RNA", at positions 563 to 774 of the family's 1533-position model. The record is from RNAcentral. Lineage: Bacteria; Bacillati; Bacillota; Bacilli; Caryophanales; Anoxybacillaceae.
GCGUAAGCGCGCGCAGGUGGUUUCUUAAGUCUGAUGUGAAAGCCCACGCCUCAACCGUGGAGGGUCAUUGGAAACUGGGAGACUUGAGUGCAUAAGAGGAAAGUGGAAUUCCAUGUGUAGCGGUGAAAUGCGUAGAGAUAUGGAGGAACACCAGUGGCGAAGGCCACUUUCUGGUCUGUAACUGACACUGACGCGCGAAAGCGUGGGGAGCAAACA